GCUGACACAUCCCGGCCAAUCUCCAGCAGACUCUCCCUCCCAGACCCUCCCAUCUCCUGGCCAGCAUCCAUGUUGAAGCUGCCUUCAACAUGGAUGCUGUCCAGGAGGUGGGAGGGUCUGGGAGGGAGGGUCUGCUGGAGAUUGGCCGGGAUGUGUCAG
RNAcentral lists this microRNA precursor (159 nucleotides) under Pelobates cultripes (western spadefoot toad). The record is from RNAcentral. Lineage: Eukaryota; Metazoa; Chordata; Amphibia; Anura; Pelobatidae.